Molecule: ribosomal RNA, 305 nt
Filed under: uncultured bacterium
Lineage: Bacteria
Description: bacterial SSU rRNA
Rfam family: Bacterial small subunit ribosomal RNA
Source: RNAcentral
CCUACGGGAGGCAGCAGUUAGGAAUAUUCGGCAAUGGGGGAAACCCUGACCGAGCAAUGCCGCGUGUGAGAUGACGGCCCUAUGGGUUGUAAAUCACUUUUAUUUGGGAAGAAUUGUAAGCAUAGGAAAUGAUGUUUACUUGACGGUACCUUUUGAAUAAGCCCCGGCUAACUACGUGCCAGCAGCCGCGGUAAUACGUAGGGGGCGAGCGUUAUCCGGAUUUAUUGGGCGUAAAGCGUGCGUAGGCGGCUUGUUAAGUCCAGAAUUAAAGCCCGAGGCUUAACCUCGGUUCGUUCUGGAUACUG